GACGAACGCUGGCGGCGUGCCUAAUACAUGCAAGUUGAGCGCUGAAGGUUGGUACUUGUACCAACUGGAUGAGCAGCGAACGGGUGAGUAACGCGUGGGGAAUCUGCCUUUGAGCGGGGGACAACAUUUGGAAACGAAUGCUAAUACCGCAUAAAAACUUUAAACACAAGUUUUAAGUUUGAAAGAUGCAAUUGCAUCACUCAAAGAUGAUCCCGCGUUGUAUUAGCUAGUUGGUGAGGUAAAGGCUCACCAAGGCGAUGAUACAUAGCCGACCUGAGAGGGUGAUCGGCCACAUUGGGACUGAGACACGGCCCAAACUCCUACGGGAGGCAGCAGUAGGGAAUCUUCGGCAAUGGACGAAAGUCUGACCGAGCAGCGCCGCGUGAGUGAAGAAGGUUUUCGGAUCGUAAAACUCGGUUGGUAGAGAAGAACGUUGGUGAGAGUGGAAAGCUCAUCAAGUGACGGUAACUACCCAGAAAGGGACGGCUAACUACGUG
Molecule: ribosomal RNA, 497 nt
Filed under: uncultured bacterium
Lineage: Bacteria
Description: partial 16S ribosomal RNA
Rfam family: Bacterial small subunit ribosomal RNA
Source: RNAcentral